GGGGAAUUUUCCGCAAUGGGCGAAAGCCUGACGGAGCAAUACCGCGUGAGGGAGGAAGGCUCUUGGGUUGUAAACCUCUUUUCUCAGGGAAUAAGAACUGAAGGUACCUGAGGAAUCAGCAUCGGCUAACUCCGUGCCAGCAGCCGCGGUAAUACGGAGGAUGCAAGCGUUAUCCGGAAUGAUUGGGCGUAAAGCGUCCGCAGGUGGUUUAUCAAGUCUGCUGUCAAAGAGUUUGGCUCAACCAAAUAAAGGCAGUGGAAACUGACAGACUGGAGUGCGGUAAGGGCAGAGGGAAUUCCUGGUGUAGCGGUGAAAUGCGUAGAGAUCAGGAAGAACACCGGUGGCGAAAGCGCUCUGCUGGGCCGUAACUGACACUGAGGGACGAAAGCUAGGGGAGCGAAUGGGAUUAGAUACCCCAGNUAGUC
RNAcentral lists this ribosomal RNA (425 nucleotides) under uncultured cyanobacterium. Its description in RNAcentral is "bacterial SSU rRNA". It matches the Rfam family "Bacterial small subunit ribosomal RNA", at positions 356 to 795 of the family's 1533-position model. Lineage: Bacteria; Bacillati; Cyanobacteriota. The record is from RNAcentral.